RNAcentral lists this ribosomal RNA (413 nucleotides) under uncultured bacterium. RNAcentral describes it as "bacterial SSU rRNA". It matches the Rfam family "Bacterial small subunit ribosomal RNA", at positions 29 to 429 of the family's 1533-position model. The record is from RNAcentral.
AGCGAACGUUAGCGGCAGGCUUAACACAUGCAAGUCGAACGAGAACAGGGCUUCGGCCCCUAGUAAAGUGGCGGACGGGUGAGUAACACGUGGGUAAUGUACCCUUCGGUGGGGGAUAACAGUCCGAAAGGAUUGCUAAUACCGCAUACGUCGACCGGGUCUCUGGACCUGGUCGGGAAAGAUGGCCUCUCUAUAGACGCUAUCUCCGGAGGAGCAGCCCGCGUCCCAUCAGCUUUGGGCGGGGUAACGGCCCACCAAGGCAUAGACGGGUAGCUGGUCUGAGAGGAUGAUCAGCCACACUGGAACUGAGACACGGUCCAGACUUCUACGGAAGGCAGCAGUGGGGAAUAUUGGGCAAUGGGCGCAAGCCUGACCCAGCCAUGCCGCGUGAGUGAUGAAGGCCUGGUCGUAAA